RNAcentral lists this long non-coding RNA (414 nucleotides) under Lathyrus oleraceus (garden pea). RNAcentral describes it as "Pisum sativum (pea) long non-coding RNA (PSAT_LNC007512)". Lineage: Eukaryota; Viridiplantae; Streptophyta; Magnoliopsida; Fabales; Fabaceae. The record is from RNAcentral.
GGGUUUUGAUUUAGGUUAAGGUUGGAAUGACGACGGAGUUUGAAGUUUAAGGGUGGUGAAUCAGAAGUGGAGGGUGUCGGAGGUCACAGCGGAAGACGGCAGGGGUUGAUGGUUCGGAGUUCACAACGGAAGACGGCGGGGGGUUGUUGGUUCGUGGCCGGAAGAUUGAGGAGAGGUGCGGGUGAGUGUAGGUGGUGAUGAGUUUGAGUGGCUAUGAUGGUUCCGGCGAGGAUGAGAGGAAGAAGAUGAGUAUGGUGGUCGUGGAUUGCGGAAUGUGAGGGUGAAGGGUUUGUCGGCGAGGGAAGUGAUGGAGGGUAGCGGUGAAGGUUCACUGUGAUGGGUGCGAAUUGGGAUAGGGAUCAGAGUUGUGGGGAAGAAGAAGAUGGAAAUCAAAUGGAGAUGGUGGUCGUGGAU